This 2128-nucleotide long non-coding RNA is filed under the name Xyrichtys novacula (pearly razorfish). Lineage: Eukaryota; Metazoa; Chordata; Actinopteri; Labriformes; Labridae. The record is from RNAcentral.
GAGAGCUAACAUCAGGGGCAUUAGCACAGAAACCAGUUAAGAAAUGGAAUUUUGAGGGUUAUUGAGACCGUUAAAAGUUGUCAGUUUGAGAACUUAGACCUCUUCACACAGAACAGUUCAUCUGAACGUCGGCGCGACGCUGUUUUAUAGUGCGGACUCGCACGUGCGCAGUGUCGUUGUAAUUUGUUAGCCUGACAAACGGACAUUAGCCGUUAGCCUUUAGCUUACAGCCUCGUUAGCUUGGCGGGACCUUGUGAGGCUGGAGGUUUGAGUUAUUGACCAUGUUGCAGAGCUGGAUGUUUCUCUGGUGACGGCGAAAGAUGUUUGCUGCUGACCGGGAGGACCGGACCUUUCUGCCACAAGGGGCCUGGACUGGGAGAGACCUUGAACGCCACGUGUGAGUCGGCUAAGGUACCCGUUUUAAAAGGUCAUUAAAGCAGGCCUGAACCAUGAUACAGGCCAGCAACAGAGGUUAAAUAUACAAUUGCCGCCUUUUAAUAAGGUCUUACGUGCAUUUUGUCAACAGUGUGGGCCCACAUUUUGAACUGUGAUAUGCCUAAACUGUGUUUUGAACAACAAACAUUCAAGUAAAAGUUUAAAAAUGUAUGUGUAUUUGUUUUAGUGUGUUAUUAAAGAGUUAAGACAGUUUUACAGACUUAUUUGUGGUUUAUUUGCGAACUGUUUGGAUGCAAAGGUACUUGAAUCUACAUAAAAGAUGCUAUUACUUACCUGACAAGUUUUAUUUUUCUUUUAACUCUGGGGUUUAAAGGUUUAAAGGUUUAUUUACACUUUCAAUUUGAUUUGAGAAGAGUUAAUGAGAUUUAAAACAGAUUUUAAGCCUGAAUGUACAAUUAUAGAGUUAAAAAAGUUAUUUUAAAUAUGUGUUUAAGAACCCAGGGCCCUACCCAGACUAGUAUAGGGAGCAGUAGCACUACAUGUACCUUAUGAAGCCAUAUUAACAUCACCAGUGUUAUUUGAUCACAGGCAGGGGAGACUCCACAUUUUAAAAAACCCAAGAUACAAACAGGACGUAUGUGUUUGACAUGUGGUUAAGGACUAUUGCUGCGUUCGAGUUACCUCGGAAGCCAGAAGUCCGAGCUGGGAAUGACGUCACACCCGAGUUAGCAGCGUUUCAGUUACCAAGUCAGAGAGAGCAAAAUCAGAGGCAGAAACAAGAUGGCUACAUCUAUGAAAGGUAUUUUAGGGCUUCCCUUGUCCGAAUAUAAACAAACAAUAUAAGCGAGGACAAGGCAAGCGCUAAAAUAACUUUUGUAGAUGUAGCCAUCUUGUUUCUGCCUCUAAUUUGCUUUCUUCUGACUUGGUACUGGUAACUCAGGUGUGACGUCACUCCUAGCUCGGACAUCUGACUUUUGAGGUAACUCGAACACAGCAUAUGUUUAAAAAAGCAAUCACAUUGCAUUAUGGGAAAUAUGAUCUGGGUGUUUUGAAGCUCGACACACACAGUACUUAAGGAAAACAUCUCGGUUGCUGCUGCAUGGGUUUCGACUGAUCUUUUCUUGAGUACUUCUUAGGUUGGCCACCCACUUGAUGACAAUUCACAGUUUUCAUAAUCCACACAGAUUUAUUAUGACCAAAAUUACCGGGCACAAUUUUAACAUUUGAGUUGGCUUGAUAAAUUCAGUUCACGCACUGAGAAACAUGAGAAAAAAACAAUAAUAAUGUCCGCUGUGGAUUGUACGAUGCCCUGAGAAUUUUCUUCUCAUUUUGUGUCUAACUGCUGUGUAGUUAAAAUGAAAAACGCUGUAAAGCAUCCACAGGAGGCUGUGGGUGCUUUGUUUUAACUGUAGUCUGGUCUUUCUCCAGUCUGGUGCCAAUAGCGUCCCCUGCCAUCUGGAAUCAGUUUUUCUGCAUAUGUGCUGUGUCUCUCCACAUACCCAACUCUCCACUCUUCAGUGUGUGGUGAUGUCCCAGAGCCUAUAACCAAAGUAGAAACAAGAAUAAUCAAUGUGCCGAAUGAGGGAAAAACCUAGAACAGAAGGGAGGCAACAAAAGUGACGAUACUUUUGACACUAGUAAGAUCGAACACAGCAGAAGUUCACCAGUUGUGCUUUCAUUUUCACAUCAUCAGAUCAUUACGCUGAAAGAGUCACCGUGAAUAAACUACCUG